GUGGGGAAUAUUGGGCAAUGGGGGCAACCCUGAUGCAGCGACGCCGCGUGAGUGAAGAAGUAUUUCGGUAUGUAAAGCUCUAUCAGCAGGGAAGAUAAUGACAGUACCUGACUAAGAAGCCCCGGCUAACUACGUGCCAGCAGCCGCGGUAAUACGUAGGGGGCAAGCGUUAUCCGGAUUUACUGGGUGUAAAGGGAGCGUAGACGGAAUGGCAAGUCUGAAGUGAAAUCCUGCGGCUUAACUGCAGAAUUGCUUUGGAAACUGUCAAUCUGGAGUGUUGGAGAGGUAAGCGGAAUUCCUGGUGUAGCGGUGAAAUGCGUAGAUAUCAGGAAGAACACCGGAGGCGAAGGCGGCUUACUGGACAAUAACUGACGUUGAGGCUCGAAAGCGUGGGAAGCAAACAGGAUUAGAAACCCUUGUAGUCC
Molecule: ribosomal RNA, 425 nt
Filed under: uncultured bacterium
Lineage: Bacteria
Description: partial 16S ribosomal RNA
Rfam family: Bacterial small subunit ribosomal RNA
Source: RNAcentral